GUUCGAUCCGGUCUGCGGAAUUCGUCUUGUCGUCCAAGACAAGAAGGUUGCGGGCAUUGACCAAAUGCUGCCGUCCCGACCGAAGGGACUCCGCCAAAGCAUUCCAAUCGGGCAGCUGCUUAUCGGUGAUUUGCAGUUCUGCCUUCAGGAAGGCGAUCCUUCCUUCAAUGCGCUCCGUGACGUCCGUUGUGCCGGAGGUG
Molecule: unclassified non-coding RNA, 200 nt
Filed under: Hevea brasiliensis (rubber tree)
Lineage: Eukaryota; Viridiplantae; Streptophyta; Magnoliopsida; Malpighiales; Euphorbiaceae
Source: RNAcentral